AUGAACGCUGGCGGCGUGCCUAAUCCAUGCAAGUCGCGCGAACGGACGAGAAGCUUGCUUUUCUGAUGUUAGCGGCGGACGGGUGAGUAACACGUGGAUAACCUACCUAUAAGACUGGGAUAACUUCGGGAAACCGGAGCUAAUACCGGAUAAUAUUUUGAACCGCAUGGUUCAAAAGUGAAAGACGGUCUUGCUGUCACUUAUAGAUGGAUCCGCGCUGCAUUAGCUAGUUGGUAAGGUAACGGCUUACCAAGGCAACGAUGCAUAGCCGACCUGAGAGGGUGAUCGGCCACACUGGAACUGAGCCACGGUCCAGACUCCUACGGGAGGCAGCAGUAGGGAAUCUUCCGCAAUGGGCGAAAGCCUGACGGAGCAACGCCGCGUGAGUGAUGAAGGUCUUCGGAUCGUAAAACUCUGUUAUUAGGGAAGAACAUAUGUGUAAGUAACUGUGCACAUCUUGACGGUACCUAAUCAGAAAGCCACGGCUAACUACGUG
Molecule: ribosomal RNA, 496 nt
Filed under: uncultured bacterium
Lineage: Bacteria
Description: partial 16S ribosomal RNA
Rfam family: Bacterial small subunit ribosomal RNA
Source: RNAcentral